AGAGUUUGAUCAUGGCUCAGAUUGAACGCUGGCGGCAUGCCUUACACAUGCAAGUCGAACGGCAGCAUGAUCUAGCUUGCUAGAUUGAUGGCGAGUGGCGAACGGGUGAGUAAUACAUCGGAACGUGCCCUGUAGUGGGGGAUAACUAGUCGAAAGAUUAGCUAAUACCGCAUACGACCUGAGGGUGAAAGUGGGGGACCGCAAGGCCUCAUGCUAUAGGAGCGGCCGAUGUCUGAUUAGCUAGUUGGUGAGGUAAAGGCUCACCAAGGCGACGAUCAGUAGCUGGUCUGAGAGGACGAUCAGCCACACUGGGACUGAGACACGGCCCAGACUCCUACGGGAGGCAGCAGUGGGGAAUUUUGGACAAUGGGGGCAACCCUGAUCCAGCAAUGCCGCGUGUGUGAAGAAGGCCUUCGGGUUGUAAAGCACUUUUGUCCGGAAAGAAAUCGCACUUACUAAUAUUAGGUGUGGAUGACGGUACCGGAAGAAUAAGGACCGGCUAACUACGUGCCAGCAGCCGCGGUAAUACGUAGGGUCCAAGCGUUAAUCGGAAUUACUGGGCGUAAAGCGUGCGCAGGCGGUUGUGCAAGACCGAUGUGAAAUCCCCGGGCUUAACCUGGGAAUUGCAUUGGUGACUGCACGGCUAGAGUGUGUCAGAGGGGGGUAGAAUUCCACGUGUAGCAGUGAAAUGCGUAGAGAUGUGGAGGAAUACCGAUGGCGAAGGCAGCCCCCUGGGAUAACACUGACGCUCAUGCACGAAAGCGUGGGGAGCAAACAGGAUUAGAUACCCCGGUAGUCC
RNAcentral lists this ribosomal RNA (799 nucleotides) under uncultured Ralstonia sp. RNAcentral describes it as "bacterial SSU rRNA". It matches the Rfam family "Bacterial small subunit ribosomal RNA", at positions 8 to 796 of the family's 1533-position model. The record is from RNAcentral. Lineage: Bacteria; Pseudomonadati; Pseudomonadota; Betaproteobacteria; Burkholderiales; Burkholderiaceae.